AGAUUAAGUUAUUAAGGGCGCACGGUGGAUGCCUUGGCACUAGAAGCCGAUGAAGGACGUUACUAACGACGAUAUGCUUUGGAGAGCUGUAAGUAAGCGUUGAUCCAGAGAUUUCCGAAUGGGGAAACCCAGCAUGAGUUAUGUCAUGUUAUCGAUAUGUGAAUACAUAGCAUAUCAGAAGGCAGACCCGGAGAACUGAAACAUCUUAGUACCCGGAGGAAGAGAAAGAAAAAUCGAUUCCCUGAGUAGCGGCGAGCGAAACGGGAAGAGCCCAAACCAACAAGCUUGCUUGUUGGGGUUGUAGGACACUCUAUACGGAGUUACAAAAGUAUAUAUUAGACGAAUCAUCUGGAAAGUUGAAUCAAAGAAGGUAAUAAUCCUGUAGUCGAAAAUAUAUACUCUCUUGAGUGGAUCCUGAGUACGACGGAGCACGUGAAAUUCCGUCGGAAUCUGGGAGGACCAUCUCCUAAGGCUAAAUACUCUCUAGUGACCGAUAGUGAACCAGUACCGUGAGGGAAAGGUGAAAAGUACCCCGGAAGGGGAGUGAAAGAGAACUUGAAACCGUGUGCUUACAAGUAGUCAGAGCCCGUUAAUGGGUGAUGGCGUGCCUUUUGUAGAAUGAACCGGCGAGUUACGAUUUGAUGCAAGGUUAAGCAGCUAAUGUGGAGCCGUAGCGAAAGCGAGUCUGAAUAGGGCGUUUAGUAUUUGGUCGUAGACCCGAAACCAGGUGAUCUACCCUUGGUCAGGUUGAAGUUCAGGUAACACUGAAUGGAGGACCGAACCGACUUACGUUGAAAAGUGAGCGGAUGAACUGAGGGUAGCGGAGAAAUUCCAAUCGAACUUGGAGAUAGCUGGUUCUCUCCGAAAUAGCUUUAGGGCUAGCCUCAAGUGAUGAUUAUUGGAGGUAGAGCACUGUUUGGACGAGGGGCCCUUCUCGGGUUACCGAAUUCAGACAAACUCCGAAUGCCAAUCAAUUUAACUUGGGAGUCAGAACAUGGGUGAUAAGGUCCGUGUUCGAAAGGGAAACAGCCCAGACCACCAGCUAAGGUCCCAAAAUAUAUGUUAAGUGGAAAAGGAUGUGGCGUUGCCCAGACAACUAGGAUGUUGGCUUAGAAGCAGCCAUCAUUUAAAGAGUGCGUAAUAGCUCACUAGUCGAGUGACACUGCGCCGAAAAUGUACCGGGGCUAAACAUAUUACCGAAGCUGUGGAUUGUCCGUAGGACAAUGGUAGGAGAGCGUUCUAAGGGCGUCGAAGCAUGAUCGCAAGGACAUGUGGAGCGCUUAGAAGUGAGAAUGCCGGUGUGAGUAGCGAAAGACGGGUGAGAAUCCCGUCCACCGAUUGACUAAGGUUUCCAGAGGAAGGCUCGUCCGCUCUGGGUUAGUCGGGUCCUAAGCUGAGGCCGACAGGCGUAGGCGAUGGAUAACAGGUUGAUAUUCCUGUACCACCUAGUAUCGUUUUAAUCGAUGGGGGG
This 1471-nucleotide ribosomal RNA is filed under the name Staphylococcus warneri. Its description in RNAcentral is "bacterial LSU rRNA". It matches the Rfam family "Bacterial large subunit ribosomal RNA", at positions 1 to 1471 of the family's 2925-position model. The record is from RNAcentral. Lineage: Bacteria; Bacillati; Bacillota; Bacilli; Caryophanales; Staphylococcaceae.